GGGGUGUUAGUAAAUCCAUCACAUGGCCUUGUCAAGGCCAAAUCACAAGUGAAACCCUUGUACACCCCA
This 69-nucleotide transfer RNA is filed under the name Eurystomus orientalis. RNAcentral describes it as "tRNA-Asp". The record is from RNAcentral. Lineage: Eukaryota; Metazoa; Chordata; Aves; Coraciiformes; Coraciidae.